UGGAAAAGGGGAGUUAAAAUUCCUCCUCAAUCAAUUAAAAAACCCCUCAGGCUGAUUGAUUUUGGAAAGCUCUAUUUAAUACCUGCAUAUUUAAGUUUAAAUUUGAUGAGGCUAGACUUAGACUGGAAGCGCUAUUCCAAACAAAUCCCCUUACAGUAUUUUAACGUAUUAAUCCUAAGUAUACAGUAAUCUGUAAUAAAUUCCCUGAUCCUUAUAUGAAUUUGGUGCCUCUAUAAAGCUCGAAACAAGGCAAGUUUUGGCUUCAGAGGGCUGUGAAAAAGCCUCUGCCACUGGAGUAUUUCUCCCAAUUCCACUGGAGGUCAGUGCAGCCCUACAGUUCUGCUGGCACAAUUGUCCUUUUCACUCUGCUCGUGUGCUACAGCUGAGCACAAACCCCUGUAGAGCUGUUUUUAAACUAGAUUUGUGUAGUAAUAAAUACAGGCUUAAGAACCGUGUUUCGUGGUUAUAUUUGGAACAUCCUAGCAGGGAUGUGAGAAUCGCAACUCGUUUGGGUGUUGGUGGGGUUUUUUUCCCUUUCUUGUUAUUGUGGCAGGUGUUUGUCAAGAGCUCAGGGUGAUUUUUUUCCUUGUAAAAGUGAAAUUACUUGGGAUGUGAAAGCAGAAGAUUUUGUUUUUGGAGCUCCAGAGAAAAACACAUCUUUGAGUUCCCAGCCUGAGAGGAGUGAGGGCAUUCACACAUCACCCUCACCCCUCCCAGCUGUGCAGAUCCACCUGAGCGAGCUCCAAAUCAUCCCCUGUGGAGGAGGUGCUUUAUUCCUGCUCAUUGAUUUACCUUUCAGCUGUACUGGCCAGAGAGCUCAUUAGGAGAAGGGGCUGCAAACCUCAAUUCCUGAUUCCCCCAGGCAAAGGAAUGACUCAAAUCUUCGGGUUUGCAUCCUCCCUUCCUUCCCUGGAGGGAUGUUGAGGUGGAAGCUGUCCUGGCUGAGCUGGCCAUAGAGGACACUGUGUCCAGGAUGUUCAGGUCCCAGUUUAAUUCCGUGUGCAUUUAGCUGAGUCAAAGCAAUGCUGGCAGAGCACGAGAUGAUCAGGCUCAGCCUCCUUGACACACUCAAACACACAGAUUUCCAAACACGCUGCUUCCACUGUGGAGGAUUUCUUGUGUAGCAGCAAUCUCAUAAAGGAAAUGCUGACAGCUGUAUCCACUGGUUAAUUUAAAACUCAGCUGGAACAAGACCUGGGCAAAAUAUUAUUGUGAAGUGACUCUCAUUCGCUGUUGUUCCAUUACUGAAGCAACAAGUUCUACCACAGGCUGCCCUCCCUGUGUCCUUGUACCCUGACUUAAUUUCCCUCUUGGCUCCUGCAGUAAUAUCCUUGUGCACCAGAAUGUCACAGCACUGUCCCCCUCCUGCUCUGAGCCUGCUCCUGCUCGUGUGUUUUGCAUGCACAGACCCUUUGGAGGGCUGUGGGAAGGUUUCUUGUGCCCCUGAUUUGGCAGCUCCCUUCCAUCCUCACCCUCCCAGCUCGUGGGUGGCAUAAAAAGCUCACAGCCUCUUCUGCUGCUGGUCCUGCCCAGCUCUCCUCUCUUCACAGCUGGGUUUUGGCUCUUUGGGGAGCAAUCCAGCCCCAUUCCUUACCCCUUCACUCCCUAUCUCCCUAGGACCAUCCCACCCUUGGGGCAGUAUUUCCCCCAAAUAAAGAAACCUCUGCUGAGUGAGAGCCCCCCCUCUUCCAAUCUUCCAGGUCCCUGCAGCAGCUGAUUAACAUAACAGCAUUUUCUGUUCUAAACCCUGUGAUUUCCAUGUCCUUCUCAUGCUUUCAUUCAGCAAAAAAGGCUCUUUAUAGGCCACAACUAGGAAAACUGGAAAUGUUGCCUUUGUUUUUAGAAUUAACAAGUCUUUCUUGUACAAUAUAUGCUUUAUAGCUCUCUACACCCUCCAUGACUUAUUUUAUGCUAAUAGUUCCCUAAGUAUUAUUAAUUAGAUUUUUUUUUAAGUAAGAGAAAGUUCUUGAAAGUUAAUUAAAAGUUCC
Molecule: long non-coding RNA, 1988 nt
Organism: Catharus ustulatus (Swainson's thrush)
Lineage: Eukaryota; Metazoa; Chordata; Aves; Passeriformes; Turdidae
Exons: 3
Source: RefSeq, a predicted model, not a curated record